GGGAGCUCUCCCAUAUGGUCGACCUGCAGGCGGCCGCACUAGUGAUUGGCGGCGCGCCUCCCGGGGCGUGCCCGCCGGCAUUAUCAGAAUCUCUGUUCGAACCCGACGAUACAUCUGAGUGUUCUAAGCGAACUGUUAAAACUUUCAACAACGGAUCUCUUGGCUCCAGCAUCGAUGAAGAACGCAGCGAAACGCGAUAUGUAAUGUGAAUUGCAGAAUUCAGUGAAUCAUCGAAUCUUUGAACGCACAUGGCGCCUUCCAGUAUCCUGGGAGGCAUGCCUGUCCGAGCGUCGUUUCAACCCUCGAGCCCCCGUGGCCCGGUGUUGGGGAUCUGCCCAGGCAGUCCCCGAAAACCAGUGGCGGACCCGUUGGGCCCUUCCUUUGCGUAGUAACAUCUGCCUCGCAUCGGGAGCCUGCGGGCUAUCCGGCCUCUAAACCCCCCUCAAGCCCGCUCCGGCGGCACCAAGGUUGACCUCGGAUCAGGUAGGAAUACCCGCUGAACUUAAGCAUAUCAAUAAGCGGAGGAAAAGAAACCAACAGGGAUUGCCUCAGUAACGGCGAGUGAAGCGGCAACAGCUCAAAUUUGAAAUCUGGCUCCUUCGGGGCCCGAGUUGUAAUUUGCAGAGGAUGCUUCGGGUACGGGUUCCUUCCGAGUUCCCUGGAACGGGACGCCAUAGAGGGUGAGAGCCCCGUCUGGUAGGACACCCAGCCCGUGUGAAGCUCCCUCGACGAGUCGAGUUGUUUGGGAAU
Molecule: small RNA, 750 nt
Filed under: uncultured Verticillium
Lineage: Eukaryota; Fungi; Ascomycota; Sordariomycetes; Hypocreales
Description: eukaryotic LSU rRNA
Rfam family: Eukaryotic large subunit ribosomal RNA (bases 470-750)
Source: RNAcentral